This is a long non-coding RNA of Bubalus bubalis (water buffalo), 1246 nucleotides long. RefSeq lists it as uncharacterized. The transcript is spliced from 5 exons. NCBI's taxonomy places the organism in Eukaryota, Metazoa, Chordata, Mammalia, Artiodactyla, Bovidae. The record is from RefSeq and is a predicted model, not a curated record.
UCUGGAGCCUCAAAAUCUCUGCCUCAUCAAUUACCAGGCAUUUCUCAGCCUGGGCUCCAUAGUGCAGGCUCCCUGGAAGCCUCAGACACAUGACAGAUCUCAGCUCUUCUCCGCAAGGAGCAUGGACUCUAUUUCCACUCCUUGCUCUCCUUUUCAGGAUCUCCGCUACUACAGGCCCUCUGCUCAGUCACAUCCCCUCUGAGGUCUUUGGAUGCUAAGCUGGUUUGGAAAAGAAGACACUUGAUUGUCAAGUCAGGCUCCCAGCACAUCUUAGAAAUUACUGACAUCUGCUGGACAGUCAGUAGGAUCUGAGCAGAAGCCUUUGCUCUAUGUGUGAUGGUCCCAAGAUACUGGUUUCUAGACUGGGGUAGGCAUGGAGAGCUUGCCGCGCCCUGCAGAGUGCUGUGUUUCUCCCCACAGAGAACAAACUUCAGACUCUCCAGCCAACUUCAAAGACAAAGGCCAGAAUGGUGAAAAUGAAUGCAAGAUCAGCAGACAGAACAGGGAACAUUAAGAGGGCUGGAAUUGUUUCCAGAUCCUGCAUCGUCCCAGCAGUUCUCUUUCUGGGAACUUCUUGGUUUCCAGUAUCACCCAUGCAAUGUGCUUCCAAGAACUGAAUGCAAUAUUCAGCUAUGGAUGAUGUGCAAGGUUUCUGAUGGCAUAGUUGCAGUUCAUGUGAGUUCUGUAAAGAAGUUCAUGUAACUGGUUCUCCAGCUAUAAAAGGUGCCAAACCAAAAUUUCACAUCCCAAUCUGCUCUUCUGAAGGUCAACUUGGGGAGAUUUCCUGACAGUUUUGGGAAAGACAGCUGUUCUAAGUGGCUUCAGUGGGUUAGAUCUUCCCCUAGCAGGUAUCGAGCCAGUGCCCCCUGCAUUUAACCACUGGACAACCAGGGAAGUCCUAUGCAUUACCUUUCUAUGCCAAUAGCAUGACACUAGCUCUCUGCUUUUUUCCAUCAGGGAGAAAAAUCUAUUUCUACUAAGAGUUAGUAGAAAGAAGUGAUAAAAUAAAUCUAAAAACUUAAAUCCCAAAGCCAAACUUAAAAAAAAAAAAUUAUCUAAAUAUCUCAGUGGAAAAUUACAGUGGAAGGUGAGAUGCUAAAAUUAAAAUUACAAAAGAAGGAAAAUAAUUACUGACCUUGCUGUGAACUUGAAUCCAAGCAUGUAAGGCACAUACAACCUCUCCACUGUGUUUUAUCCUCUUCCAUUAGACAAAUGACCAUUUUAAGCUUUCACUGGUUUGGUCAAG